AGCAGCCGCGGUAAUUCCAGCUCCAAUAGCGUAUAUUAAAGUUGUUGCAGUUAAAAAGCUCGUAGUUGAAUUUCGGGGUUAGUAGGUUGGUCAUGCCUCUGGUAUGUACUGGUCUCACUGAUUCCUCCUUCCUGAUGAACCUUAAUGCCAUUAAUUUGGUGUUUUGGGGAAUUUGGACCGUUACUUUGAAAAAAUUAGAGUGUUUAAAGCAAGCUAACGCUUGAAUACAUUAGCAUGGAAUAAUGAAAUAGGACGUUCGAUCCUAUUUUGAUGGUUUCUAGGAUCGACGUAAUGAUUAAUAGGGAUAGUUGGGGGCAUUAGUAUCCAAUUGUCAGAGGUGAAAUUCUUGGAUUUAUUGAAGACUAACUACUGCGAAAGCAUUUGCCAAGGAUGUUUUCAUUAAUCAAGAACGAAAGUUAGGGGAUCGAAGACGAUCAGAUACCGUCGUAGUCUUAACCAUAAACUAUGCCGACUAGGGAUCGGAUGAUGUUAAUUUUAUAAUGACUC
This 507-nucleotide ribosomal RNA is filed under the name uncultured Glomeromycotina. Its description in RNAcentral is "SSU rRNA". It matches the Rfam family "Eukaryotic small subunit ribosomal RNA", at positions 569 to 1077 of the family's 1831-position model. The record is from RNAcentral. Lineage: Eukaryota; Fungi; Glomeromycota.